AUUGAACGCUGGCGGCAUGCUUUACACAUGCAAGUCGAACGGUAACAGGGUGCUUGCACCGCUGACGAGUGGCGAACGGGUGAGUAAUGCGUCGGAACGUGCCGAGUAGUGGGGGAUAACGCAGCGAAAGUUGUGCUAAUACCGCAUACGUACUGAGGUAGAAAGUGGGGGACCUUCGGGCCUCACGCUAUUCGAGCGGCCGACGUCUGAUUAGCUAGUAGGUGAGGUAAAGGCUCGCCUAGGCGGCGAUCAGUAGCGGGUCUGAGAGGAUGAUCCGCCACACUGGGACUGAGACACGGCCCAGACUCCUACGGGAGGCAGCAGUGGGGAAUUUUGGACAAUGGGCGAAAGCCUGAUCCAGCCAUGCCGCGUGUCUGAAGAAGGCCUUCGGGUUGUAAAGGACUUUUGUCAGGGAGGAAAUCCCUAGUGCUAAUAACACUGGGGGAUGACAGUACCUGAAGAAUAAGCACCGGCUAACUACGUGCCAGCCGCCGCAGUAA
RNAcentral lists this ribosomal RNA (500 nucleotides) under uncultured bacterium. RNAcentral describes it as "partial 16S ribosomal RNA". It matches the Rfam family "Bacterial small subunit ribosomal RNA", at positions 30 to 523 of the family's 1533-position model. The record is from RNAcentral.